AUGACCGCGCCCCCGCGGCCCGUGAGCGUCUGGAGGCUCCUGCGCCAGUGGGAACGUGUGGCUGGGCCUGCGUGCUCGGGGAAGGGGCCGUCCGCGCCUGUAACGUUGCGGGCUCCCCGUGUCCUCACGCCCGAAGGGACCCUCGGCGGCCACGCGAGGCGAGUGUACAUAUUUAUUUACCCCCUGACUGUCGCCAGCAGCCCAGCGCCUUCCUGUGUUCAUUGUAAUCAGUUCAUUACCAAAGAGACGUUUGCACUAUGUACCGAUGCCGCCAGUUCAAAUAAACGGGCCACGUCUUCAAAUGGAGCCUGGCAUGCUUCUUUGGGUCCCGCCCGCGGCGCAGUGGCCGCUCGCGGGCGCCGUGCUGUGACAGCAGGGGCGAGGAGGAGCGAGGGCGGAUUCAGGGGGGCUCUGAUGCCAGGCGGCCUGGGCGCUCACGGGGCCGAGGGGCUGGCUCUGGGCCGGGUGGGGGGGGCCAGGAGAGCCUGCGGCGGCCGCCCCUACCCCCAGGUGCAUCCUUGUCACAGGGACUGCGUGGCCCUGGGGACCCGGGAUGGGAGGGCUCCUCUCCACGAGGUUGUGGGGUCGCAGGGCCGCCUUCCCUCUCUGGGAUCGGGGACGGGGGGUGGGGGGGGCGGGGGCUGGGCAGCUGGGAGGACCCGGGGCCUUUCUCCUGCUUCAAGCGAACCUAAUACAACUGGCGACGGCCGACGACCUGCAUGUUGCUUUCAGAGUCACAGAGAAGGUCCAGAGACCCCUCCGCUGCCUUUUGAACACCCCUCACCCCCGUUCCCUGCUGCAGAAGGGGCACCGCUGACCUACGUCGUCCCGUUUUAUCUGCUGAGUGAUUCAGCAGAGAUGCUCACGUGUGUCCACGGAACCCAACGAGCGCAUCUUUUUUUUUUUUUUUUUAAAGAUUUUAUUUAUUUAUUCACGAGAGACACAGAGAGAGAGAGAGAGAGAGGCAGAGACACAGGCAGAGGGAGAAGGCAGCUCCAUGCAGGGAGCCCGAUGUGGGACUCCAUCCCGGGACCCCAGGAUCACGCCCUGGGCUGA
Molecule: long non-coding RNA, 1056 nt
Filed under: Canis lupus familiaris (dog)
Lineage: Eukaryota; Metazoa; Chordata; Mammalia; Carnivora; Canidae
Description: lncRNA (ENSCAFG00040009568.1)
Source: RNAcentral